Molecule: ribosomal RNA, 215 nt
Filed under: uncultured bacterium
Lineage: Bacteria
Description: partial 16S ribosomal RNA
Rfam family: Bacterial small subunit ribosomal RNA
Source: RNAcentral
UACGUAGGGCGCAAGCGUUAUCCGGAAUUAUUGGGCGUAAAGAGCUCGUAGGCGGUUUGUCGCGUCUGCCGUGAAAGUCCGGGGCUCAACUCCGGAUCUGCGGUGGGUACGGGCAGACUAGAGUGCAGUAGGGGAGACUGGAAUUCCUGGUGUAGCGGUGAAAUGCGCAGAUAUCAGGAGGAACACCGAUGGCGAAGGCAGGUCUCUGGGGCUGU